GACGAACGCUGGCGGCGUGCUUAACACAUGCAAGUCGAGCGGUAAGGCCUCUUCGGGGGUACACGAGCGGCGAACGGGUGAGUAACACGUGGGUGACCUGCCCUCAGCUCUGGGAUAAGCCUGGUAAACUGGGUCUAAUACCUGAUAUGACCUUUCCUCGCAUGGGGUUUGGUGGAAAGUUUUUUCGGCUGGGGAUGGGCCCGCGGCCUAUCAGCUUGUUGGUGGGGUGAUGGCCUACCAAGGCGACGACGGGUAGCCGGCCUGAGAGGGCGACCGGCCAGACUGGGACUGAGACACGGCCCAGAUUCCUACGGGAGGCAGCAGUGGGGAAUAUUGAGCAAUGGGCGGAAGACUGACGAAGCGACGCCGCGUGGGGGAUGACGGCCUUCGGGUUGUAAACCUCUUUCGACCCCGACGAAUUUGGACGGUAGGGGUAGAAGAAGCACCGGCCAACUACGUG
This 460-nucleotide ribosomal RNA is filed under the name uncultured bacterium. RNAcentral's name for it is "partial 16S ribosomal RNA". It matches the Rfam family "Bacterial small subunit ribosomal RNA", at positions 28 to 507 of the family's 1533-position model. The record is from RNAcentral.